GAAAGAGGCCAAAAAGCAAUAAGAACUGCUAAUUCUUACCCCUGAAGUUAAAACCCUCAGCUCAUUCA
RNAcentral lists this transfer RNA (68 nucleotides) under Plotosus lineatus (striped eel catfish). RNAcentral describes it as "tRNA-Ser". Lineage: Eukaryota; Metazoa; Chordata; Actinopteri; Siluriformes; Plotosidae. The record is from RNAcentral.